This 68-nucleotide transfer RNA is filed under the name Salmo salar (Atlantic salmon). It matches the Rfam family "tRNA". From Rfam's summary of the family: Transfer RNA (tRNA) molecules are approximately 80 nucleotides in length. Lineage: Eukaryota; Metazoa; Chordata; Actinopteri; Salmoniformes; Salmonidae. The record is from Rfam by way of RNAcentral.
GCCCAUGUGGCUCAGUUGGAAGAGCAUGGUGCUUGCAAACCAAGGUUGUGGGUUCGAUUCCCACGGCA